UACGGAGGGUGCAAGCGUUGCUCGGAAUUAUUGGGCGUAAAGGGUAUGUAGGUGGUCUCAUUUGUCUGGGGUGAAAGCCUUGAGCUUAACUCAAGAAGUGCCCCAGAAACGGUGAGACUAGAGUCCUGGAGAGGGUCGUGGAAUUCCCGGUGUAGCGGUGAAAUGCGUAGAGAUCGGGAGGAACACCAGAGGCGAAGGCGGCGACCUGGACAGGUACUGACACUCAACUACGAAAGCGUGGGGAGCAAACAGG
Molecule: ribosomal RNA, 253 nt
Filed under: uncultured bacterium
Lineage: Bacteria
Description: partial 16S ribosomal RNA
Rfam family: Bacterial small subunit ribosomal RNA
Source: RNAcentral